This 25-nucleotide ribosomal RNA is filed under the name Aureobasidium pullulans. RNAcentral's name for it is "partial 28S ribosomal RNA". The record is from RNAcentral. Lineage: Eukaryota; Fungi; Ascomycota; Dothideomycetes; Dothideales; Saccotheciaceae.
AGCAUAAUCAAUAAGCGGGAAGAAA